Molecule: ribosomal RNA, 253 nt
Filed under: uncultured bacterium
Lineage: Bacteria
Description: partial 16S ribosomal RNA
Rfam family: Bacterial small subunit ribosomal RNA
Source: RNAcentral
GAUCCUGGCUCAGGACGAACGCUGGCGGCAUGCCUAACACAUGCAAGUCGAACGAGGUGUAGCAAUACACCUAGUGGCGGACGGGUGCGUAACACGUGAGCAACCUGCCCUUUACAACGGGAUAACACAGAGAAAUUUGUGUUAAUACGGUAUGAGACCACAGUACGGCAUCGUACAGGGGUUAAAGUUCAGGCGGUAAAGGAGGGGCUCGCGGCCCAUUAGAUAGUUGGUGAGGUAACGGCUCACCAAGUCG